GCAGCAGGCGCGAAACCUUUACACUGCACGACAGUGCGAUAGGGGGACUCCGAGUGCGAGGGCAUAGCGCCCUCGCUUUUGUCGACCGUAAGGUGGUCGUCGAAUAAGGGCUGGGCAAGACCGGUGCCAGCCGCCGCGGUAAUACCGGCAGCCCGAGUGAUGGCUGAUAUUAUUGGGCCUAAAGCGUCCGUAGCCUGCCAUGCAAGUCCAUCGGGAAAUCGGCUCGCUCAACGAGCCGGCGUCCGGUGGAAACUACACGGCUUGGGGCCGGAAGACUCGACGGGUACGUCCGGGGUAGGAGUGAAAUCCUGUAAUCCUGGACGGACCACCAAUGGCGAAAGCACGUCGAGAAACCGGACCCGACGGUGAGGGACAAAAGCCAGGGUCUCGAACCGGAUUAGAUACCCGGGUAGUCCCGGCUGUAAACGAUGCCUGUUAGGUAUGCACCGCGCCACGAGCGCGUUGUGUGCCGAAGUGAAGACGAUAAACAGGCCGCCUGGGAAGUACGUCCGCAAGGAUGAAACUUAAAGGAAUUGGCGGGGGAGCACUACAACCGGAGGAGCCUGCGGUUUAAUUGGAUUCAACGCCGG
This 590-nucleotide ribosomal RNA is filed under the name uncultured haloarchaeon. RNAcentral's name for it is "bacterial SSU rRNA". It matches the Rfam family "Archaeal small subunit ribosomal RNA", at positions 332 to 921 of the family's 1478-position model. Lineage: Archaea; Methanobacteriati; Methanobacteriota; Halobacteria; Halobacteriales; Halobacteriaceae. The record is from RNAcentral.